UGGAAGGUUGGGCGGACAAACAUCUCGCCAACCCGGUCAGGUCCGAGAGGAAGCAGCCGUAACGAGUUUCCGUUUGGGUCGUUUCCAACCUUCCGCCG
This 98-nucleotide signal recognition particle RNA is filed under the name Alphaproteobacteria bacterium. Its description in RNAcentral is "signal recognition particle sRNA small type". It matches the Rfam family "Bacterial small signal recognition particle RNA". Rfam says of the family: The signal recognition particle (SRP) is a universally conserved ribonucleoprotein involved in the co-translational targeting of proteins to membranes. RNAcentral also lists the same sequence under 2 other names. The record is from RNAcentral. Lineage: Bacteria; Pseudomonadati; Pseudomonadota; Alphaproteobacteria.